Molecule: ribosomal RNA, 461 nt
Filed under: uncultured bacterium
Lineage: Bacteria
Description: SSU rRNA
Rfam family: Bacterial small subunit ribosomal RNA
Source: RNAcentral
AGGAUGAACGCUGGCGGCGUGCCUUAUACAUGCAAGUCGAACGGUAAGGCCCCUUCGGGGGUACACGAGUGGCGGACGGCUGAGUAACACGUAGGAACGUACCCCAAACUGAGGGAUAAGCACCAGAAAUGGUGUCUAAUACCGCAUGUGCACCACGGUGUAAAGCUUUACGCGGUUUGGGAACGGCCUGCGCAUGAUUAGCUUGUUGGUGAGGUAAUAGCUCACCAAGGCUACGAUCAUUAGCUGGUCUGAGAGGAUGAUCAGCCAGACUGGGACUGAGAACGGCCCAGACUCCUACGGGAGGCAGCAGUAGGGAAUUUUCCACAAUGGGCGAAAGCCUGAUGGAGCAACGCCGCGUGCAGGAUGAAGGCCUUAGGGUCGUAAACUGCUUUUAUAUGUGACGAUUAUGACGGUAGCAUAUGAAUAAGGAUCGGCUAACUCCGUGUCAGCAGCCGCGGUAA